RNAcentral lists this ribosomal RNA (468 nucleotides) under uncultured bacterium. Its description in RNAcentral is "partial 16S ribosomal RNA". It matches the Rfam family "Bacterial small subunit ribosomal RNA", at positions 28 to 507 of the family's 1533-position model. The record is from RNAcentral.
GACGAACGCUGGCGGCGUGCUUAACACAUGCAAGUCGAACGGAAAGGCCCUGCUUUUGUGGGGUGCUCGAGUGGCGAACGGGUGAGUAACACGUGAGUAACCUGCCCUUGACUUUGGGAUAACUUCAGGAAACUGGGGCUAAUACCGGAUAGGAGCUCCUGCUGCAUGGUGGGGGUUGGAAAGUUUCGGCGGUUGGGGAUGGACUCGCGGCUUAUCGGCUUGUUGGUGGGGUAGUGGCUUACCAAGGCUUUGACGGGUAGCCGGCCUGAGAGGGUGACCGGCCACAUUGGGACUGGGAUGCGGCACAGACUCCUACGGGAGGCAGCAGUGGGGAAUAGUGCACUAUGGGCGGAAGCCUGAUGCAGCAACGCCGCGUGCGGGAUGACGGCCUUCGGGUUGUAAACCGCUUUCGCCUGUGACGAAGCGUGAGUGACGGUAAUGGGUAAAGAAGCACCGGCUAACUACGUG